AAGAAAGAAAAUUAAACUGAAAUGGGAUUUUUUUGUUAAAAAUCAUUUGUAUUUUUUUUCUUACAAAGGGAAGUAAAUUGCUAAGCACCAGUGAAUAUCACUACAUAAUGGAGAUUUUCAUUUUUAUACAAUUUUCAUAAUUAUAAAGAGAAAGAAGGACAAAACACAUGCACACAAAAACAUACAACACGUUAUACUGACAUCUUCAACGUGCAUAAUUGGUUUGAGCCAGCAGCCAGCAGUUGAAAUUGACAUGUGAGAGUUCUUCUAAGUCCCAGAUGCUAGCUGCCAACUGCCUUUUUGUUCUUGUUUCCUUGGAAACGGAGGUUGGUUUUAUGAAAACAAGGGAAUCAGAGAACAGCGAUCAAACACAAGGUUCCUUCAAUGAUGUUCUAUCACAGCCUUCAUGUUUCCCGUCACACUACAUAUGGUCCCAUUGUUUACAGAUUACAAAAAAAAAUCCCUGCUCAGAUGUUAAAACAAGAUGUUUUCUUCACUUUCAAGUGGCAGGCUGACUGCCAAAUUUUACAAUUAGUUAUUCUGUGCAAAGAAAAAAAAAAAGAAGUUUAAUUAUCACAAUUUCUUCUGUUUGGACAUUACUCUGAUGGGCUAUCAACCUGAGGACUGACAGAAGUGAACUCUGGUCCAUGAGAUGGGGAAAGGUUCUUGGGAAGAGAGCUUUUUGUAGGGAGAGGGAAUCAUAAAAAAUAAGGAGAGCAAUGCAUCCUCGCCAGAAAUAGGUACGGCAACAUUAAGGCAAACCAGCCACCUGCCAAUGACGAUGUUUCCCAAUGGCACCGUCUGGCAGACAGAAUUUCACAGUGUUAAACAAUAGUGCUGCACACACCAUGGGCGCACCUAUCAAUGGGUCACUGAUUCUUUAAAAAGAUUUGCUGAUGGUGGUACAGUGAUUAUGGCAGGGCAACAAACGCAGUAAAAAGACUUGCAUUUAGAAGCUAAAUCCUGGGUCACUGCAUGAGCUCAAAGUUGGUCUUCUCAUUCCUUAAAAGAAUUGUUUGGGGGGCUCCUGGGUGGCUCAGGGGAUUAAGCCUCUGCCUUCAACUCAGGUCAUGAUCUCAGGGUUCUAGGUUCGAAUUCCGCAUCGGGCUCUCUGCUUGGCAGGGAGCCUGUUUCC
This 1135-nucleotide long non-coding RNA is filed under the name Mustela putorius furo (domestic ferret). Its description in RNAcentral is "lncRNA (ENSMPUG00000028079.1)". Lineage: Eukaryota; Metazoa; Chordata; Mammalia; Carnivora; Mustelidae. The record is from RNAcentral.